UGUCCGGCGACCGGCGCACGGGUGCGUAACGCGUAUGCAACCUACCCAUUACAGGGGGAUAACACUGAGAAAUCGGUACUAAUACCCCAUAACAUCCAGGGAGGCAUCUUCUUGGGUUGAAAACUCCGGUGGUAAUGGAUGGGCAUGCGUUGUAUUAGUUAGUUGGUGGGGUAACGGCUCACCAAGACAACGAUACAUAGGGGGACUGAGAGGUUAACCCCCCACAUUGGUACUGAGACACGGACCAAACUCCUACGGAAGGCAGCAG
This 268-nucleotide ribosomal RNA is filed under the name uncultured bacterium. RNAcentral describes it as "partial 16S ribosomal RNA". It matches the Rfam family "Bacterial small subunit ribosomal RNA", at positions 85 to 354 of the family's 1533-position model. The record is from RNAcentral.